GAUAAACGCUAGCGGCAGGCUUAGCACAUGCAAGUCGAGGGGCAGCAUAGAUUGUAGCAAUACAAUUGGUGGCGACCGGCGCACGGGUGCGUAACGCGUAUGCAACCUACCCGUCACAGGGGGAUAAUCCGGAGAAAUCUGGUCUAAUACCCUAUAACAUAUGGAUCGGCAUCGGUUCAUGUUGAAAUUUUCGGAGGUGACGGAUGGGCAUGCGUAGCAUUAGCUUGUUGGUGAGGUAACGGCUCACCAAGGCGACGAUGCUUAGGGGGACUGAGAGGUUUUCCCCCCACACUGGUACUGAGACACGGACCAGACUCCUACGGGAGGCAGCAGUGAGGAAUAUUGGUCAAUGGGCGCAAGCCUGAACCAGCCAUGCCGCGUGCAGGAUGACGGCUCUAUGAGUUGUAAACUGCUUUUGUACGAGGGUAAAGUGGGUUACGUGUAACCUUUUGAAAGUAUCGUACGAAUAAGGAUCGGCUAACUCCGUGCCAGCCGCCGCAGUAA
RNAcentral lists this ribosomal RNA (504 nucleotides) under uncultured bacterium. RNAcentral describes it as "partial 16S ribosomal RNA". It matches the Rfam family "Bacterial small subunit ribosomal RNA", at positions 28 to 523 of the family's 1533-position model. The record is from RNAcentral.